UACGUAGGGUGCGAGCGUUGUCCGGAUUUAUUGGGCGUAAAGGGCUCGUAGGCGGCGUGUCGCGUCGGGAGUGAAAGACCGGGGCUUAACCCCGGUUCUGCUUCCGGUACGGGCAUGCUGGAGUGUGGCAGGGGAGACUGGAAUUCCUGGUGUAGCGGUGGAAUGCGCAGAUAUCAGGAGGAACACCGGUGGCGAAGGCGGGUCACUGGACCACAACUGACGCUGAGGCGCGAAAGCUAGGGGAGCAAACAGG
This 253-nucleotide ribosomal RNA is filed under the name uncultured bacterium. Its description in RNAcentral is "partial 16S ribosomal RNA". It matches the Rfam family "Bacterial small subunit ribosomal RNA", at positions 524 to 776 of the family's 1533-position model. The record is from RNAcentral.